This 497-nucleotide ribosomal RNA is filed under the name uncultured bacterium. RNAcentral's name for it is "partial 16S ribosomal RNA". It matches the Rfam family "Bacterial small subunit ribosomal RNA", at positions 28 to 507 of the family's 1533-position model. The record is from RNAcentral.
GAUGAACGCUGGCGGCGUGCCUAAUACAUGCAAGUCGAGCGAACGGACGAGAAGCUUGCUUUUCUGAUGUUAGCGGCGGACGGGUGAGUAACACGUGGAUAACCUACCUAUAAGACUGGGAUAACUUCGGGAAACCGGAGCUAAUACCGGAUAAUAUUUUGAACCGCAUGGUUCAAAAGUGAAAGACGGUCUUGCUGUCACUUAUAGAUGGAUCCGCGCUGCAUUAGCUAGUUGGUAAGGUAACGGCUUACCAAGGCAACGAUGCAUAGCCGACCUGAGAGGGUGAUCAGCCACACUGGAACUGAGACACGGUCCAGACUCCUACGGGAGGCAGCAGUAGGGAAUCUUCCGCAAUGGGCGAAAGCCUGACGGAGCAACGCCGCGUGAGUGAUGAAGGUCUUCGGAUCGUAAAACUCUGUUAUUAGGGAAGAACACAUGUGUAAGUAACUGUGCACAUCUUGACGGUACCUAAUCAGAAAGCCACGGCUAACUACGUG